GACGAACGCUGGCGGCGUGCUUAACACAUGCAAGUCGAACGGAAAGGCCCUGCUUUUGUGGGGUGCUCGAGUGGCGAACGGGUGAGUAACACGUGAGUAACCUGCCCUUGACUUUGGGAUAACUUCAGGAACCUGGGGCUAAUACCGGAUAGGAGCUCCUGCUGCAUGGUGGGGGUUGGAAAGUUUCGGCGGUUGGGGAUGGACUCGCGGCUUAUCAGCUUGUUGGUGGGGUAGUGGCUUACCAAGGAUUUGACGGGUAGCCGGCCUGAGAGGGUGACCGGCCACAUUGGGACUGAGAUACGGCCCAGACUCCUACGGGAGGCAGCAGUGGGGAAUAUUGCACAAUGGGCGGAAGCCUGAUGCAGCAACGCCGCGUGCGGGAUGACGGCCUUCGGGUUGUAAACCGCUUUCGCCUGUGACGAAGCGUGAGUGACGGUAAUGGGUAAAGAAGCACCGGCUAACUACGUG
This 468-nucleotide ribosomal RNA is filed under the name uncultured bacterium. Its description in RNAcentral is "partial 16S ribosomal RNA". It matches the Rfam family "Bacterial small subunit ribosomal RNA", at positions 28 to 507 of the family's 1533-position model. The record is from RNAcentral.